GUUUGAUCCUGGCUCAAGAUGAACGCUGGCGGCGUGCCUAACACAUGCAAGUCGAACGGGGAUACUUUAGUAGUAAUACCGAGGUAUUCUAGUGGCGGACGGGUGAGUAACGCGUGAGCAACCUGCCUUUCAGAGGGGGACAACAGCUGGAAACGGCUGCUAAUACCGCAUAAUAUAUUUGGACGGCAUCGUCUGAAUAUCAAAGAUUUAUCGCUGAAAGAUGGGCUCGCGUCUGAUUAGCUAGUUGGUGGGGUAAGAGCCUACCAAGGCGACGAUCAGUAGCCGGACUGAGAGGUUGAACGGCCACAUUGGGACUGAGAUACGGCCCAGACUCCUACGGGAGGCAGCAGUGGGGAAUAUUGGUCAAUGGGGGAAACCCUGAACCAGCAACGCCGCGUGAAGGAAGAAGGCUUUCGGGUUGUAAACUUCUUUGACAGGGGAAGAAAAAAAUGACUGUACCCUGAAAACAAGCCACGGCUAACUACGUGCCAGCAGCCGCGGUAAUACGUAGGUGGCAAGCGUUAUCCGGAUUUACUGGGUGUAAAGGGCGCGUAGGCGGGCAUGCAAGUCAGAUGUGAAAUCUAUGGGCUUAACCCAUAGCGUGCAUUUGAAACUGUGUGUCUUGAGUGAUGGAGAGGUAAGUGGAAUUCCUAGUGUAGCGGUGGAAUGCGUAGAGAUUUGGAGGAACACCAGUGGCGAAGGCGGUUUACUGGGCCACAUCUGACGCUGAUGUACGAAAGCGUGGGGAGCAAACAGGAUUAGAUACCCUGGUAGUCCACGCCGUAAACGAUGAGUGCUAAGUAUCGGAGGAUUCGGUGCUUAAGCUAACGCAGUAAGCACUCCGCCUGGGGAGUACGGUCGCAAGACUGAAACUCAAAGGAAUUGACGGGGACUCGCACAAGCGGUGGAGCAUGCGGUUUAAUUCGAUGCAACGCGAAGAACCUUACCAGGUCUUGACAGUGUAAAGAAUACUUAAGAGAUU
RNAcentral lists this ribosomal RNA (982 nucleotides) under uncultured bacterium. RNAcentral describes it as "bacterial SSU rRNA". It matches the Rfam family "Bacterial small subunit ribosomal RNA", at positions 11 to 1008 of the family's 1533-position model. The record is from RNAcentral.